AUGGCGGUGCAAGUGGGGCAAGUCGCCCCCACCCUGACGGUGCUGCCCCCCUCCAGAGAGGAGCAGCAGCAGAGGAAGGCCGCGUUCAUGUGCCGGGGCUUCCCCUCCGACUGGAGUGUGGUGGACAUUCGCAAUGUUUUUGUACGGUGGUUCAAUGCCUUUGUGUCACUGUGGAUCACGUUUGGUGGAGGAACCAGACUGAGCGUUGGAAGUGAUGUCCGUCCCACCCUGACGGUGCUGCCCCCCUCCAGGGAGGAGCUGCAGCGGGGGACGGCCACGCUGGUGUGCCUGGCCAACAAGGGCUUCCCCUCCGACUGGAGUCUGGCCUGGAAGGUGGACGGCAGCAGCAGCAGCUGGGAGGAGAGCAGGAGCCCCGGGGUGCUGGGGGGGGGCGCCCUCUACAGCUGGAGCAGCACCCUGAGGCUCCCUGCAGACCAGUGGGCCAAGGUGGGCUCUGUGACCUGUGAGGCCACCCAGGGCUCCCAGCCUAAGCUCUCAGAGACGCUGAGGAGAGACCAGUGUUCCCAGUGAGCUGAGCCACUGGGGCUCUGGUACUGGUUCAUACUGGUACUGGUUCAUACUGAUACUGGUUCACCCUGAUACUGGUUCAGAUUUGAUACUUGUUCAGUUUGCCUGUAACUCUUUAUAUUUUGUUCAUUUCACUCACUGUUUAAGUUCCUGUUUCAUUCAUUAAGUUCUUUUGAUUUUCAUUAUUU
Pungitius pungitius (ninespine stickleback) is the source of this 716-nucleotide non-coding RNA. Lineage: Eukaryota; Metazoa; Chordata; Actinopteri; Perciformes; Gasterosteidae. The record is from the annotation of a RefSeq genome assembly.